This 407-nucleotide ribosomal RNA is filed under the name uncultured bacterium. RNAcentral's name for it is "partial 16S ribosomal RNA". It matches the Rfam family "Bacterial small subunit ribosomal RNA", at positions 28 to 526 of the family's 1533-position model. The record is from RNAcentral.
GACGAACGCUGGCGGCGUGCCUAAUACAUGCAAGUAGGACGCAGUUGCGAACGGGCGAGCAACGCGUAGGUACCUGCCUUUUAGAGGGGGAUAACUAUUGGAAACGAUAGCUAAUACCGCAUACUAGUAGAUGGACCUGCGUUGUCUUAGCUAGUAGGUAGGGUAAUGGCCUACCUAGGCGACGAUACAUAGCCGACCGGACGGGGUGUUGGUCCACACUGGGACUGAGACAGGGCCCAGACACCUACGGGAGGGCGCAGUAGGGGAUCGUCGGCAAUGGGGGGAAGCCGGACCGAGCAACGCUGCGUGAGUGAAGAAGGUUUUCGGAUCGUAAAGCUCUGUUGUUAAGGAAGCGGUACUUAACCAGAAAGGGACGGCUAACUACGUGCCAGCAGCCGCGGUAAUAG